This 72-nucleotide transfer RNA is filed under the name Mus musculus (house mouse). Its description in RNAcentral is "tRNA-Ser". Lineage: Eukaryota; Metazoa; Chordata; Mammalia; Rodentia; Muridae. The record is from RNAcentral.
GGUGAGAUGGCUCAGUGGGUAAGAGCACCCGACUGCUCUUCUGAAGGUCCUGAGUUCAAGUCCCAGCAACCA